RNAcentral lists this ribosomal RNA (298 nucleotides) under uncultured Gammaproteobacteria bacterium. RNAcentral's name for it is "partial 16S ribosomal RNA". It matches the Rfam family "Bacterial small subunit ribosomal RNA", at positions 794 to 1089 of the family's 1533-position model. The record is from RNAcentral. Lineage: Bacteria; Pseudomonadati; Pseudomonadota; Gammaproteobacteria.
UCCACGCCGUAAACGAUGUCUACUAGAAGCUCGGAACCUCGGUUCUGUUUUUCAAAGCUAACGCAUUAAGUAGUUUACCGCCUGGGGAGUACGGCCGCAAGGUUAAAACUCAAAUGAAUUGACGGGGGCCCGCACAAGCGGUGGAGCAUGUGGUUUAAUUCGAUGCAACGCGAAGAACCUUACCUACACUUGACAUACAGAGAACUUUCUAGAGAUAGAUUGGUGCCUUCGGGAACUCUGAUACAGGUGCUGCAUGGCUGUCGUCAGCUCGUGUUGUGAGAUGUUGGGUUAAGUCCCG